CCUACGGGCGGCAGCAGUAGGGAAUAUUGCUCAAUGGGGGAAACCCUGAAGCAGCAACGCCGCGUGGAGGAUGAAGGUUUUCGGAUUGUAAACUCCUUUUGGUAGAGAAGAUAGUUACGUUAUCUAAUGAAUAAUCCCCGGCUAACUCCGUGCCAGCAGCCGCGGUAAUACGGAGGGUGCAAGCGUUACUCGGAAUCACUGGGCGUAAAGAGCUCGUAGGCGGGAUAGCAAGUCAGAUGUGAAAUCCUAUGGCUUAACCAUAGAACUGACUUUGAAACUGUUAUACUAGAGUAUGGGAGAGGUAGGUGGAAUUCUUGGUGUAGGGGUAAAAUCCGUAGAGAUCAAGAGGAAUACUCAUGGCGAAGGCGACCAGCUAGAACAUAACUGACGCUGAUGCGCGAAAGCGUGGGGAGCAAACAGGAUUAGAUACCCCAGUAGUC
RNAcentral lists this ribosomal RNA (440 nucleotides) under uncultured bacterium. RNAcentral describes it as "partial 16S ribosomal RNA". It matches the Rfam family "Bacterial small subunit ribosomal RNA", at positions 338 to 795 of the family's 1533-position model. The record is from RNAcentral.